Molecule: ribosomal RNA, 253 nt
Filed under: uncultured bacterium
Lineage: Bacteria
Description: partial 16S ribosomal RNA
Rfam family: Bacterial small subunit ribosomal RNA
Source: RNAcentral
UACGUAGGUGGCAAGCGUUGUCCGGAUUUACUGGGCGUAAAGAGCGCGCAGGCGGUCGUUCAAGUCGCGUGUGAAAGCCCCCGGCUCAACUGGGGAGGGUCACGCGAUACUGAUCGACUCGAAGGCAGGAGAGGGAAGUGGAAUUCCCGGUGUAGUGGUGAAAUGCGUAGAUAUCGGGAGGAACACCGGUGGCGAAGGCGGGUCUCUGGGCCGUAACUGACGCUGAGGAGCGAAAGCGUGGGGAGCGAACAGG